UCAAGUCGACCCCCAACCCUGGUCAUCGCCCGCUUAUUAACACUAUUUUAUUGUAUCAUACUGUAUCAUGUUACUAUAUUACCAAUUUCGCUUGUUAUUGUUUAUUGUUGUCAGUGCUGCCACCCACCUCUCUGGCCUCACCAUGUCGCUCCACCACCCCCUCCUCCCUCCUGCCCCUUCCAAUCCUCCCCUUCCCCUUCCCUCUCUUGCCCAGCUCUUUCCCGCUCUCUCCUCCUCCCUAGAACCCCGCUUUACCAGCGCCACCCCUCUUCCCCCUCCCCCUACUCUCCCCCCCACCAAGCCCCCUCCUCACACCCUCCCCUCUUCCCUCUUCCCCACCCACGCCCCAUCCCAGUCCUCCUGUCCCACCUCCACCCCUCCUCCCCCUCUCCCCAUCCAGGGCCCCGCCACCUCCUUCCCAUCCAAACCCUCCCCUCCCCCCGCCCUUUCCUCCCUCCCCCCCUUGCACCCACAGCUACUUUCAAGUUUGGCCUCUGGAACCCCUGCUUCAUUACAGGUACACUACCUUUCAUUCAUGACCUUUUCCUUUCCCGCUGUCUCCUCCUCCUCGCCCUUUCGGAAACUUGGCUCACUCCCGAAGACACGGUCUCCGCCGCUGCUCUCGCCAGCGGUGGCCUCUCCUUCUCCUACUCCCCCAGACUUUCCGGAAAGGGAGGAGGCGUCGGCUUCCUCCUCUCACCCCGUUGCCGCUUCCGCACUAUCUCUCCUCCCCCUUCCCUCUCCUUCCCCUCCUUCGAAGCCCAUAUCAUUCGCCUCUACCACCCCCUCCAGAUACUUGUAGUCGUCAUCUACCACCCUCCUGGUCCCACCUCCGACUUCUUCAACCACCUAGACCCCUUUCUCACCUUCCUUCUCUCCUUCCUUCUGCCCACUCUGAUCCUCGGAGACUUCAACAUCCACAUGGAUGUACCCGAUGACUCCUCUGCCGCCCGCCUGCUAUCCCUCCUCGACUCUGCCGACCUCCUGCUCCACCAUACCUCGCCCACUCACCGACUCGGUCACACCCUCGAUCUCGUCAUCUCCUACGGCUGCACUCCCUCCUCCCUCACCAACUCUGAAAUCCCUCUCUCUGACCAUAACCUUCUCACCUACCUCAUCUCUCACACUCCCUCCCCUUGCAAAUCUUUGCUACUCCCCCACAGAGACCUCUGCUCUCUUGAUCCCAUCCAUCUUUCCAAAAGCAUCUCUCCCCACCUUGCCCCCCGUCCUCUCUUCCCACUCUCGAUGAUCAGGUCACCGCUCUCAACUCCACCCACUCUACUCAUCUCGACUCUCUCGCCCCCCUUUUCCUUCGCCGCUCUCGCUCCACUAACCCACAGCCCUGGGUCACCACCUCUGUCCGUCUCCUACGCUCCUAUGCUCGAGCUGCCGAGUGCUGCUGGCGAAAGUCCAAGCACCAAGCCGACCUCAUACAUUUCAAAUUUAUCCUUUCCUGCCUUAACUCUGCCCUCUCUUCUGCCAGGCAAAACUUCUCCUCCCUCAUCGACACCCAUGCCCGUCACCCCCGCCAAUUGUUCUGGACCUUUAACUCUCUCCUUAGGCCCCCUGUUCCUCCCCCUCCCCCAUCCCUCACCCCCAGUGAUCUGGCCACCUACUUCAUCACAAAAAUGA
Molecule: long non-coding RNA, 1632 nt
Filed under: Ornithorhynchus anatinus (platypus)
Lineage: Eukaryota; Metazoa; Chordata; Mammalia; Monotremata; Ornithorhynchidae
Description: lncRNA (ENSOANG00000043563.1)
Source: RNAcentral